UGACAGGUCAAAAGUCACCGCUCCCGGACCACAAGUCCGGGGGAGGAAAGUCCGGGCUCCGCAGAGCAUGGCACCGGGUAACAACCGGGUCCCGCACUCCAGGCUUGGAGCGCGGGAACAGAGAGUGUCGCAGAAAAAAUACCGCCCUGCGUUUUCCUUGGAAAAUUCAGGGCAAGGGUGAAAAGGCGGGGUAAGAGCCCACCGCGC
Molecule: RNase P RNA, 207 nt
Filed under: Spirochaetaceae bacterium
Lineage: Bacteria; Pseudomonadati; Spirochaetota; Spirochaetia; Spirochaetales; Spirochaetaceae
Description: partial RNase P RNA component class A
Rfam family: Bacterial RNase P class A
About the family: Ribonuclease P (RNase P) is a ubiquitous endoribonuclease, found in archaea, bacteria and eukarya as well as chloroplasts and mitochondria. Its best characterised activity is the generation of mature 5'-ends of tRNAs by cleaving the 5'-leader elements of precursor-tRNAs.
Source: RNAcentral